CCCAUUUACACAACACUAAAAUCCUACUAGCCACCACACGUACACAAUAGAUGUAGUAGCGGACUUAGCCUAAAACUUAUAGUAUCCUAAUAUUUAUUAUUCUGCUGUAAGGAUAUUAAAAACAAUAUUUAGUUUUCUGCUAGUGUGAAAUCAAGUAUCUUAAAUGCUUCAUGGUACUAGCCAUGUCUAUAUUUUGUCAUCUCUAUUUGUUGAUUAUUCUACUAGAGUGAAAAUUAUUCUUAAUAGGAGUAUUCUGAUUUUUUUGGUAUAUUUAUAUACUUGCCCUAUCGGCGUAUCCUUGUUUUCUGAAAAUGCCGUAUCAACGUAUC
RNAcentral lists this long non-coding RNA (329 nucleotides) under Sorghum bicolor (sorghum). RNAcentral describes it as "long non-coding RNA (SBIC_LNC007142)". Lineage: Eukaryota; Viridiplantae; Streptophyta; Magnoliopsida; Poales; Poaceae. The record is from RNAcentral.